Molecule: long non-coding RNA, 3776 nt
Organism: Bombus pyrosoma
Lineage: Eukaryota; Metazoa; Arthropoda; Insecta; Hymenoptera; Apidae
Exons: 3
Source: RefSeq, a predicted model, not a curated record
UAGGUUCGAAAUAGGAAGCGAUAAAGUCGAGUUGUAACCGGGCAGCGAGAUUGACUAGCGAAACCGAGAGCGAUACACGACGCGAUCAAAAGAAAACGCUUGUUAAUAAAUACAUUGUUGAUCUAAACACCGAGUGAUUAUUUAACGCACUACACCCAAUAGCACCUCAAACUCUUUCGUCGUUAAAUUAAAUCGUUAAACAUGAGCAAGUGCUACAGUACUUUCGAACUAUAGAGAUUAGGAUGUGAAAGAACAACGUAAAGUUUCAGCCAAAGUUUCGGCUGGAAGUGACCCCAGUGUCCUGGAAAUUGCCGUGUAAUUUGUCUAUAUCGUGUGAGGGAGGAAAUAAAAUAGAAAAAUAGAAAAGGAGGAAAUGCGAGCAAAUGAAGAUAUAAGAUGGAUCCAGUGAAGCAUCCAAAUUUUGUUUCGUGUUAAACCUAAAUGUCGAGUUCCGUUCGAAUUGAUUCAAUGCCAAAGUUAUUCAGCUGAGAAAAACAGAUAAACGAUAACCAAGUCGUUAUGGAAAUAGUUAGGAGUAGGAACAAAAAAUAUUGCAGGAAACUAACGGGUACGGAGGAGCGUGACAAUAUGAACGCGACACGCAAGUAACAACGCAGUCGUUAUUUUUCAUAAUUAUCCGGCAAAACGAAUCUGUGGAAAACAAAAGUUGUGGAGCGUUAACGAGGAGGAUUUUCAGUCGAUCCAAUGGAUAAUGACAUUAGCUCUCUAUACUGUCGCAUUAUUUUAAUGGCAAAUUCUUUAUUUCGUUUCUCUUUCGCCGGUGUAUUCAAGAGCUUUUUAAGAUUUAACGAGGACGUGGUCGCCUUUCAAUUUUACCGGUGCGAAAACAGCAACUGAAAAGAUACAAAAUAUCGUCCCUGACCAUAAUUCCCUCUUGUCUGUUGAGUCGUCGUCGCCAAAUUUUCCUACCGCUAAAAACCACUCAACAGAGUGCGCAGGAUCCAAGUGGCGAAUAUUUUUGCAAUUAUUUUGCUGACUUUGCAAGCACAGUGGCUCUUUAUUUUUAUUCUCAGUCCAAGUAGACGUGUCUGGUCAAAUCUGGUUCUGUUUUGGUUUUCAGAAGAAUGGCUUGAAAUAUAAAAUGUUAUACUCUCGGUUUUAAUUCAUGGAGACAGGACUUUCUCAUUUAAUAGAUUUUUGUGCUGUUUAUCUGGCAUUUUGCGCUAGCGGCUACAUUUUAGGCGAAAAUUUCAGAUACGCCCUUUUUACCGAACACGGCAGAGUUAUUUUUUAAGAAUUAUUAAGGUUCGGGUCUGAGUGAAAAUCGUGGGAACAACGAGUUUCGCAGAUGUAAAUAACAUGGUAUGCUUGACAUUCUAAUUUUUUCGGUGGGGCGUGAGCUUCUCUGGCUGGAAAUACGCGUUUCCGCUCUUUUCCCUUCCCACCAUUGAUUUUCUACGGCACUGCGGAGACCGCAUCUCUUUUAUCUAUAGCUCAGAGACAACAUUCCUUCUUAAUUUGUUCCGAAUCACAGGAUUCACGAACAUCCGACGUUUAUACUGCGCUAUUCAGACACGGUUGUUAGCUUUUUUCAGUGUUUAUCGAGGUUUUACAUGGGUAGUCCAUUUAAUUAAAGGAAAUUAGUUUCCAGUAAUUUUUUAGUUCGUUUAUUUUAUUAUCUUCUCUAUUUCUUUCUACUUUUUUUUUUUAUUUCAGGGAAUGAAUGAUACUAUUUUAUUCCGUACCAAGUAUAUUUUGAAUUAAUUUUUAAAAAAAAAAAAAAGAAAAAAGGAAGUAAAAUAAAAAAAACAACAGGCUAGAGCUUGUAAUUAAAUUCCAGGAAAAACGCGAAACAAAAUCAAAGUGCAGAUCCAAGAGAAAAAGUCAGAAAAGAAAAAAAAAUCUCCUCGUAUACAAAGUGUUACAUUGAAAUGGAUAUUUUUAAACAUCAAAAGCGUGAAACUGGAGACGCCGUUUCAACCAUGUUAAGACAAAUUAAAUCCAAAAAAAAGCGAAGGAAAGGGAGAAGCAGAAAGAGAAUUGGUUUCUCUUCCUAAAGGGUUUAAGAAAACUGUAAUUAUACAGAAAAAAGGAACAUCUUCCCCAUUUCAAUGGGCCUGAGAUACGCUGACAAGGGCGACACUGUGAACUACUUUUUCCUACACACGCAGCCACAGCUCGGUCCUCGUUUCAUGUCCCCGAGACAUUUCCAAAAAACUUCAAUUAAAUUUGAAUUCCAUUACGCUUCAUUCUGGCGUAUAGAUAGUCGUUCAGCUUUUGUAUAGUUCAACCUAAGCUUAACUUAUCGAUGCUAAUCAUCUUCAAUAUAAAUAAAAAAAAAAGAUAAAUCAAUGGGUUGUAGAUUAUUAAAUUUUAAUUUAGUUAAAUGUUAGUUAAAUGCUAGAUUAAUAUAUUGCACAACAUUGGCACGACUUGGUAUUUAUUUCAUUCGCUUUUGUAAGUGUGCCGUAAAUUCGACUACUAUCAUUUAUUAUUAUACUCUUCUGCCUAUAGCUGAAAACGUUACGCGUUAAGGACAUUUAUAGACACCUGCUGACUCUAAUUUAUUAACACGUCACGAACAGACAGCGAGUUGAGUUUACAUUGGAUUAUGUAAGAAUGCAGCCGCCUACUCGACGAUCCGACGUAAUCGUGACGUAAAUUGUAUCGAAGGUUUCCGUUGAUAUAGUUUUUCCUCGAAACAAGCAACUGGUUUCUCACUGGAAACAGACAACUCACUAUCUUGCCAUUUGAAGUUGUUUUUUAUUUGAUUUACCGACCGAGUAAGAGAUCGCAGAAUGAGUAAGCGAUUCGUGAAAGCGAGGAGCCAUCAAUUUUUAUGAUCCAACGAACAGUGACUCAUUUCAGUAGAAGACCAAUGGAAUACGUACAAUGCUUCCUGACUCUGAUUUAGCAACCCUCGCGUGUUACGUGCUGCUCAACCGAUCGCUUUAUACGAUCCGCCGCUAUCUCGAGUUCCUCGUUCUCCGUAUUCUCGCUUGUCCCGUUCGAGAACAAAGUGAAGCCGAAUAGCAUGCCAGACUCGUAAUGAGCAUCUCGUCGAUCCUGAGCGUGCUUAUUUCCAGGCAAAAUCGUAUGUCGGAAACUAAGGUCGCAAGCGACGGUAACAUGUACAGCAGGACAAGUGCAAGUUCGAACGGUUCGAUAUUCGAACAAUUCCAAUUCGAACGAACGUGUCAGGGGAAAUCCAGCUUCUGAGCUCGAAGGAAAACUGGAAGUUGGAGCAAAGAGACGGACAGUUGCUUGUCGUUGUGUAAGCGACACGUUGUCGCCUGAUUUCUCUACUCAGGCCCGGAUCGGAACAGCGAAAUGCAAGUUGAGAAGAAGAAAGAGAAACAAAGGGACGUUAGUCGUUUCGACGCUCGUUCUUGCAGUCGUCGGUGUAGUUCUUCUAUGAUUGUCUCAGCGAAUGUUGUAAAUUUGUUUUCUUACCAUUUAUUAAUACGAACUUUAGAGACAGGUACUUGCAAUGUCUCAUAUUGAGAAAAUGUCGAAUGGGAGGAAUCGAUUCAACUUACGCCAUUUCAAUUUAAUUCGAUGUUCGACCAACUCGAAGCUCGAACCGUCCAGCGCCUCCUGGAACGGAUAGUGUUCGAUGUUCGAGGAUUUACUGUAUUUAGAGGAAAGUUGUUCGGAAUGUUGAUCUUAGCAUGAAAUUCGCAUUUGAAGAUUUUAUAUUAUUUCAUUGUUAAUAAAUAUUUUCCAACCGAGUAACCAGUUGCAAGCUAAUCAAUUUUAUCCGAUGGCUAGAAACUGAAGUUUAUAUUUCAUCAGACAUCAUGAUCUCUACCUAU